Molecule: long non-coding RNA, 518 nt
Filed under: Pongo abelii (Sumatran orangutan)
Lineage: Eukaryota; Metazoa; Chordata; Mammalia; Primates; Hominidae
Description: lincRNA
Source: RNAcentral
AACCUUGGAGAGCACCUCCCUUGCAUAUGACUUCUGCAAAGGGCAUGUUUCAGCUCACAGGGACAAAGAGCCACUGCACCAGAGAACCAGAAAGAGUGAAGAAAUGUUUGUCCCCGGUGCUGAGAAUACCAUCAGAUGAUCUUUCUGCCCAGAGCCACUAUCUGUCUCUAAAUAUCACGGUUAUCAAUGCUUGGCCAUCUCUUUUCAGUUUGGGAAAACUGCCAGGGACCACUAGCUAGCUCCAGAAUUCCUCAGAUGUUUCAGGGAACUGCCACAACUUUGUAGACCACAGUUUGAAAGCUACUGCUGAAGAAAUAUGCCAUCUUGAAGGCUUUUUAAGCACGAGAUUUGCAAGAUAUGGUUCGCAUUUUAGAAACAUUAUUCUGCUUGCUACAGUACUGAGUUUGGAUGAGGGAGACUUGAAGGCAAGGGAGCUCUUUUAGGAAAUAACUACACUUUUCUUAUAGAAGAAGACUAUAAUAGACUGUGUCAAAAAUGUCUAUGUUCCAUAGCAUUGG